AAAGCAUAUGGUGGAUGCCUUGGCAUAAUGUGCCGAAGAAGGACGUAAUAAGCCGCGAUAGUCGUCGGUGAGGAGCUAAUAUCCUUUGACCCGGCGGUGUCCGAAUGGGGUAACCCCGGUUCGUGUAAACGGACUGGACCGAGAGAUUUAUCUUUCGGUCGGUAACCCGGAGAACUGAAACAUCUAAGUACCCGGAGGAAAAGAAAUCGAAUGAGAUUUCCUUAGUAGCGGUGAGCGAAAAGGAAAUAGCCUAAACCCAUAUUUAUAUGGGUGUUGCAGGACCAGAUAUAUGAUGUUGUUUCGAUAGAAGAACACCGUGGAAUAGGUGGCCAUAGAGAGUGACAGCCUCGUAAUCGAAAUUGAAGCAACAUUAAUUUGGCACCUAAGUACGUUGGGAGACGGCAAACUCCCUGCGGAAUCCGCCCCGACCACGGGGCAAGGCUAAAUACACAUUAUGACCGAUAGUGAACGAGUACCGUGAGGGAAAGGUGAAAAGAUGGGUGAGACACCCAGUGAAAUAGUACCUGAAACCGUAUGCUAACAAACAGACAGAGCUUCGAUUUAUCGGAGUAAUGUCGUGCCUAUUGAAGAAUGACCCGUCGAGUUUGCAUGUACUGCUAGUCUAAGUGAUAUCGUCACGGAGGCGUAGUGAAAGCGAGGAUGAAUAGUCC
RNAcentral lists this ribosomal RNA (671 nucleotides) under Microgenomates group bacterium GW2011_GWF2_46_18. RNAcentral's name for it is "bacterial LSU rRNA". It matches the Rfam family "Bacterial large subunit ribosomal RNA", at positions 14 to 693 of the family's 2925-position model. The record is from RNAcentral.